GCAAAAAGGAAAAGAGAAAAGAGAGAUAAAAGGCCCAGCUCAUAGUAAAGACAAUUCGACUUAAUAAAGUUUUGGACAAAAAAAUCAUGAUGUCUUCUCCAAAAUGCAGGUGCACUCUCGUUGUUUGUACACGCAACUUGGUGAACCCAGAUAUUAAAAACAUCAAGAAAAAAUUUAGUAUUUGCAUCUUUUCAAUGGUCGACUUAGUAUUUGCAUCUUUUCAAUGGUCGACUUGAAACUUCUGCACAUAUAGCUUCACAGGGGUCCUGUCACAGAUACAAAUUAAUUAGAAAUAGGCGACAAGCUCCAUCAAACAACAGAAAGGUCAAUAAGCACUAGUGAGUGUGAGACAGUUGCAUUGAAAACAAUCCUGUACGAAAUCCAAGAUGGAAAUAGAAGUAUAUGCAAUAUAGAUCAGCCAGUACUAAAAAAGAAUGGAAAUUGGAGUUACGUUUUUGGCAGCCUGCCAACUUUGGCUAUGCCAUAACUAUCAGCAGACAAAUUAAACUGCUUAAUAAGUUACUUAAGAACCUGCUAAGCAGUAAUUAAAAAAACAUGAAUGUUUAAAAAAAUAUCAGAUUACUCUAAAAAAUCCACAAGUAUAAUAAAGCGAACAGUACUUUAAGAAUAAAAAAAUGUAUAUUCUAUAAACCAUAAGAAAUUAAAGAACUACACAGGAUGCAACAUGCAUCACAAAGACACAAAAGACUGCAUAAAGCAUAAUGCAGAGAUUGCAAGAAUCCUGUAGUGAACAACUGGUAACAGUCUCUUAAAGAGCAUAUGGACAUCCUAUGUAAAACAAAACAAUAAAUUUGUGACUUACAUCCGUUCACUUUACAGAUAAGCUACAAUUCCUUGCAACAGUCCA
RNAcentral lists this long non-coding RNA (868 nucleotides) under Sorghum bicolor (sorghum). Its description in RNAcentral is "long non-coding RNA (SBIC_LNC011643)". The record is from RNAcentral. Lineage: Eukaryota; Viridiplantae; Streptophyta; Magnoliopsida; Poales; Poaceae.